CCUACGGGAGGCAGCAGUGGGGAAUAUUGCGCAAUGGGCGAAAGCCUGACGCAGCGACGCCGCGUGAGGGAUGAAGGUCUUCGGAUCGUACACCUCUGUCAGCAGGGAAGAACGGUCACUGUGCUAAUCAGCAGUGAAUUGACGGUACCUGCAAAGGAAGCACCGGCUAACUCCGUGCCAGCAGCCGCGGUAAUCCGGAGGGUGCGAGCGUUAAGCGGAAUUACUGGGGGUAAAGCGCUCGUAGGCGGUAUGUCAAGUCAAGGGUGAAAUCCCCGCGCUCAACGUGGGAACUGCCUUUGAAACUGACAAACUGGAGUGUGUGAGAGGAUAGUGGAAUUCCAGGUGUAGGAGUGAAAUCCGGAGAUAUCUGGAGGAACAUCAGUGGCGAAGGCGACUAUCUGGCACAUAACUGACGCUGAGGAGCGAAAGCGUGGGUAGUAAACAGGAUUAGAUACCCUAGUAGUC
This 465-nucleotide ribosomal RNA is filed under the name uncultured bacterium. Its description in RNAcentral is "partial 16S ribosomal RNA". It matches the Rfam family "Bacterial small subunit ribosomal RNA", at positions 338 to 795 of the family's 1533-position model. The record is from RNAcentral.